Molecule: ribosomal RNA, 402 nt
Filed under: uncultured bacterium
Lineage: Bacteria
Description: partial 16S ribosomal RNA
Rfam family: Bacterial small subunit ribosomal RNA
Source: RNAcentral
UGGGGAAUAUUGCACAAUGGGGGCAACCCUGAUCUAGCCAUGCCGCGUGAGUGAUGAAGGCCUUAGGGUUGUAAAGCUCUUUCAGCUGGGAAGAUAAUGACGGUACCAGCAGAAGAAGCCCCGGCUAACUCCGUGCCAGCAGCCGCGGUAAUACGGAGGGGGCUAGCGUUGUUCGGAAUUACUGGGCGUAAAGCGCACGUAGGCGGACUGGAAAGUUGGGGGUGAAAUCCCGGGGCUCAACCUCGGAACUGCCUUCAAAACUAUCAGUCUGGAGUUCGAGAGAGGUGAGUGGAAUUCCGAGUGUAGAGGUGAAAUUCGUAGAUAUUCGGAGGAACACCAGUGGCGAAGGCGGCUCACUGGCUCGAUACUGACGCUGAGGUGCGAAAGCGUGGGGAGCAAACA